Molecule: ribosomal RNA, 497 nt
Filed under: uncultured bacterium
Lineage: Bacteria
Description: partial 16S ribosomal RNA
Rfam family: Bacterial small subunit ribosomal RNA
Source: RNAcentral
GACGAACGCUGGCGGCGUGCCUAAUACAUGCAAGUUGAGCGCUGAAGGUUGGUACUUGUACCAACUGGAUGAGCAGCGAACGGGUGAGUAACGCGUGGGGAAUCUGCCUUUGAGCGGGGGACAACAUUUGGAAACGAAUGCUAAUACCGCAUAAAAACUUUAAACACAAGUUUUAAGUUUGAAAGAUGCAAUUGCAUCACUCAAAGAUGAUCCCGCGUUGUAUUAGCUAGUUGGUGAGGUAAAGGCCCACCAAGGCGAUGAUACAUAGCCGGCCUGAGAGGGUGAUCGGCCACCUUGGGACUGAGACCCGGCCCAAACUCCUACGGGAGGCAGCAGUAGGGAAUCUUCGGCAAUGGACGAAAGUCUGACCGAGCAACGCCGCGUGAGGGAAGAAGGUUUUCGGAUCGUAAAACUCUGUUGGUAGAGAAGAACGUUGGUGAGAGUGGAAAGCUCAUCAAGUGACGGUAACUACACAGAAAGGGACGGCUAACUACGUG